This is a long non-coding RNA of Neopelma chrysocephalum (saffron-crested tyrant-manakin), 2150 nucleotides long. RefSeq lists it as uncharacterized. The record is from RefSeq and is a predicted model, not a curated record. NCBI's taxonomy places the organism in Eukaryota, Metazoa, Chordata, Aves, Passeriformes, Pipridae. The transcript has 3 exons.
GGGAUGGCCGCAGGCCACAGGCGCGCCCCUGGCUCUGCCCGCGGCUGUCACCGGGACCCGCGCCUGUCCUGCGGGAUUGGAAGAGGGGAGGGUGGGGAGAAAAGGCGCGACCCAGCAGCUUCCACCCUCGAGAGACCUCAGCUCUGCGCGUAGUCUCCCGCAGGUUUAGUGUCACCUCCCUGCCCUGUCCCCCCACCACCCCCCGUCUGUGUGCCGUGCUGAGGCGGGUGGGCAGGCGGUUCCCAGGUUGUGGGAUGAGCAGUCCCGUUACCGCCCGCUCUUUGAUACGGGUCGCAGGUCAGUUCCCGAAACUGCUCCGAGAAAACCCUCACAACUUUUCCUCCUUGUGCAGAACUUUUUCAGUUUGAAAUACUCCGCUUUCCCCUGUGCUACGAACUGCUAGAAGUCUGCAUAUUAAUGUAAAAACUCUCUCCAAGGAGAAGUAGUACAUAAAAGGUUCCUGUGAAAGGGUUUUAAAAUCCCAAAUCUAGUAGGCGUUAAAAAGUACGUAAACAUUUGUUGGGAAUUUGGACACAAUUUUUCUGCAGUUAGGUGACUUUAUAUGGCAUGCUUUUCCUCCCAUGCAAGUCAUUUUAAGCUGAUUUCACAUUAAAAUAAGUUCUGCUUGCUUGCAACUACUAACAUAUUAUUCGAGGAAGAAGCUGGAAAAAAGUUAAAUCAUUACAGUUCAAGAGAUGAAGCUGCUUUCCCCCUAAAUUUUGAAAUGACAUAACUUUUUUCCUUACAAUUUUACUCUCAAAUACAUGGUGAAAUGUAAAGCAUAAAAUCUUCAGAGAUACAUGCUGACGCAAAUGAAACCCUUCUGUAAAACAUAUGGCGUUCGCAGCCCUCGCUGCAAACUUAAACAUUCUUCAUACAUGUUUAGUAUAAUCCACUGGCAGAUUUGUAAAGUAAUUGCUCAUGUAAAUCACCCAGUAACACAUUUCCCCCUUAAGUUCUUUUGUAGGAUUGUCUGAUAAAGCCCUUUAUGAAUAGAAAAGCAAUAAUUCACAUACAAGAGGUGAACUUGUCGUAUUGAAAAUGGAAGGUAAAAUAUAGUUGCACAAUGAGGCACACACAGUAGGAUCUCUGACACGGGGAAAGGAGAACUGACUGAUUAUGUGUGGGAUUCCCUCUAUACCCUCCUGCAGAAAAUGAGUUCAGAGCAACAGAGAUGUUUAUAUAUGGAAUGCGAAGAAAAGUAAUAUCAGAAUUUAAAGUUUGUUGCAAAGUCUGCCUCGAUACUUUAGUACCGGGGCCAUGCUCAGUAGCACCUCACUCAUAUGCGCACAGAGAACCUUUUCUGACUUCAUAAAUUUACUUUUUCUGAAGCUGCAAAUGCCAUGGCUGAAUCACAGUCGAAGAGACAAAUCGCUUGCACAACUUUCACUGAAUGCAGAAUUCUGAAAAAUGACUCUCAAGCACCAAGGCUACUCAGAGAUUUCUUAAGACUUGAGUGGAAAAGAACUUGGAAACUGGUCGCUUGACUCAGAGAUGAACAGGAUUUACAGGAAACUGGCCAGUGGCUGUUGAUGCAGGAGGGCCUGGACUUGCAAAUUCCUUGGUCAGUGGUCAUGUGCCACAUUCUUCUGAAGACUGGGAGAAAAGCACAAACCUCAACACAGUCAUCUUGGGAUCUGCCUCUGCAAAGAAAAGCAGCAGCCCAGCAGCUGGUGGCCCCCACCUUUUACAUGUAUAAAGGAGAGAUGUUUGAAUGUGCUCCUGAACCAUGUUACAACCAUAACCCUAAAAGAUCUGGGGCACACACACUUGAGUAGGAUCACAGUGUCUUAGAACAUUUUUAAUUUUGAAGAGAAAAAGGUUGAUGAGUUGCUUCUGGACGCUCAUGUCAAGUGUGUGAUGCCAGCUCAGCAGCUGUCACUGUCUUCAAGUUGCAGUAUCUUCAUCUCUGGUGCCCCACCCCAACAGGAUUUGCACACAGCCUUUCAGAGGAGAGGAACAGAUACCUGCAUCAGGAGUACUCAGGGUAGUAAGGUCUUUUAGCACCCAGCGUCAAAGAAAAUAACAACAGCAUGUUGAAUAACUGGUUUGAUGUGUAUGCUUCACAUAGGUUAAUUUAGGUGGAUCAUCACCCUCAUGUUGUACUCUUGUUUCCUAGAAAUGCCCUGAAACAGGCACAUUUAUGGCAU